RNAcentral lists this ribosomal RNA (460 nucleotides) under uncultured bacterium. Its description in RNAcentral is "partial 16S ribosomal RNA". It matches the Rfam family "Bacterial small subunit ribosomal RNA", at positions 338 to 795 of the family's 1533-position model. The record is from RNAcentral.
CCUACGGGAGGCAGCAGUGAGGAAUAUUGGUCAAUGGACGAGAGUCUGAACCAGCCAAGUAGCGUGAAGGAUGACUGCCCUAUGGGUUGUAAACUUCUUUUAUAAAGGAAUAAAACGAGGCACGUGUGCCUUUUUGCAUGUACUUUAUGAAUAAGGAUCGGCUAACUCCGUGCCAGCAGCCGCGGUAAUACGGAGGAUCCGAGCGUUAUCCGGAUUUAUUGGGUUUAAAGGGAGCGUAGAUGGGUUGUUAAGUCAGUUGUGAAAGGUUGCGGCUCAACCGUAAAAUUGCAAUUGAUACUGGCAGUCUUGAGUACAGUUGAGGUAGGCGGAAUUCGUGGUGUAGCGGUGAAAUGCUUAGAUAUCACGAAGAACUCCGAUUGCGAAGGCAGCUUACUAAACUGCCACUGACAUUGAUGCUCGAAAGUGUGGGUAUCAAACAGGAUUAGAUACCCCGGUAGUC